Molecule: long non-coding RNA, 1272 nt
Filed under: Fukomys damarensis (Damara mole-rat)
Lineage: Eukaryota; Metazoa; Chordata; Mammalia; Rodentia; Bathyergidae
Description: lncRNA (ENSFDAG00000030830.1)
Source: RNAcentral
CAAGGACAACCAUAACUGACGUCGAUUGGUCAGUUCCUCCCCGUUGAGGAACCGCCACUUGAUGGACUGAUAAAACAGCCUACCAAAAGAGUGCAUGAGCCGCAGUGGUUGCCAAUUGGUUGCGAUGCCGGCUUGGCUGCUUAAAUUUGUUCUCCAGGCCUUAGAACCAGUAUACUAUUCCCGCGGAGGUUCAGGUUGUUGGGGCUGGAUGGAGUGCUGGUGUCCUUUUCAGUUGAUGAGACAUCUGGAAAGGCCUUUACACUGUGCGAAGCACAAGAAGGCUCAGAGGUAAAGCCGCUGGAAACCGGCACCCAGCAAGACCCUGAAGCCCUGGAAACUGCGCGAGAAUGGAAGACCCUGCCUGAAACCCACAUUCCUGGAAUACAACAGCAAGGCUUCCCUGUCACCGGGAACUCAGGUGGUCACAGGGCAUCGUUGAGGCUGCUAGCUCUGAGUUCCCACCUUCAGGUGCAUAGGAUGUCUGUUCCUGGAUUCACGUGGCAGGGUCCCAGGGCACCCUGAGGACCCAGCCGGAGAAAAAGCAGGUCAGCUGCAGCCCAGCCCCCCUCGCAGGACUAGGUGGGAAAGCCAUUCCUUCCACCAGCCCCGACAGCCUGGAGUGUCAUAACCCAGGUCCAGGAUGGUGACUACAGAAAAGCUGGGUGCGAGACCCCUCAGUCCCAUCCACACCCAGAUGGCAUCCCAGCAAUCAAGUGCCCACAAGCGUGCCUGCCCAGUUUCAGGCUGUUUCAAUAUACUCAACUUUCCUGCUCUCUGCAGGCUUUCUCAUAUAUUUUUUUUUGCUUUUAAAUUUGACUCUGACGACACCUCUGCUCUGGGGACUGACUUCACUCUUGAAAAGGAUGACUCACUGUGAUCUAGGGCAGCUCAGGGGAUUCCCAUGUGCGUACUUCCUGCCAAAAAGAAAGCAAAAGUCACACACACCCUGCAGCCUGGGAGGCAGGAAAGGAGCAAGAAAUGUCCCUGGGCAGACCCAGGAGGGGCCACCACACCUCCCACUUCCUGAAGGAUGGGGUCUCUGCCCCCAGAGGCAAAGCUGUGUCAAAUGCUUCUGCUGUGAGCUGCACAAAAGUGCUCAGGAAGCUGGAAAACACAGAGAAAGACCAAGAAGGAAGCAGCAAUGGCCCCAUCCCUCCAGCCCCACAAGCUCUGCAGCAGACCUCUCCGUUCCCCCGCACCCCUCCUCUGAGCCCCCAGGCCGCAUACGCCUUGCACAGGCCAGACGUCGCCCUCCCCACGCAGCCCGCGGCG